GGAUUGGUAGCUCAGUUGGUAGAGCGCUGCGUUGAAGGCGCAGGCGUCGAAGGUUCAAGCCCUUCCCGAUCCACCA
RNAcentral lists this transfer RNA (76 nucleotides) under Rhodoferax saidenbachensis. Its description in RNAcentral is "tRNA-Phe". It matches the Rfam family "tRNA". Rfam says of the family: Transfer RNA (tRNA) molecules are approximately 80 nucleotides in length. Their secondary structure includes four short double-helical elements and three loops (D, anti-codon, and T loops). Lineage: Bacteria; Pseudomonadati; Pseudomonadota; Betaproteobacteria; Burkholderiales; Comamonadaceae. The record is from RNAcentral.